Molecule: long non-coding RNA, 356 nt
Filed under: Androctonus crassicauda
Lineage: Eukaryota; Metazoa; Arthropoda; Arachnida; Scorpiones; Buthidae
Source: RNAcentral
AAAAGUUGGUCUUAGAAGUUUAAACUUUGAAUGGAUAACCAGUUAUGCUUAUUAAUAUUCGAUCAAGUCUACUCCAGUCUACUCCUAAUCUGCCAUAUGACCACACAAUGGACAAACAGUCUACAGUAAACCUAGCUAAAGUAGUCCAUAUAGGGUCCAUAGACUAUUUUAGCAGUAUGCUCGUUAGCCUAUCACCAAACCUGCCAAUUUUCCUUACUCUAUCAGUUUUGAGUACAGUUUUAACCGUGCGUGAUUAAUUGUUGAUAUACAUAUUGAAUUUUCCACUUCUUGAUUCCCACUCCAUUUUUAAGGAACGGAUUUUACUCGUACGCAUCUUUUGUCAAAAUUUACAGUUU